This 453-nucleotide ribosomal RNA is filed under the name uncultured Porphyromonadaceae bacterium. RNAcentral describes it as "partial 16S ribosomal RNA". It matches the Rfam family "Bacterial small subunit ribosomal RNA", at positions 341 to 792 of the family's 1533-position model. Lineage: Bacteria; Pseudomonadati; Bacteroidota; Bacteroidia; Bacteroidales; Porphyromonadaceae. The record is from RNAcentral.
ACGGGAGGCAGCAGUGAGGAAUAUUGGUCAAUGGAGGCAACUCUGAACCAGCCAUCUCGCGUGAAGGAAUACGGCCCUAUGGGUCUUAAACUUCUUUUAUAGGGGGAUAAAGUGAGGCAUGUAUGCCUUUUUGUAGGUACCCUAUGAAUAAGCAUCGGCUAACUCCGUGCCAGCAGCCGCGGUAAUACAGAGGAUGCGAGCGUUAUCCGGAUUUAUUGGGUUUAAAGGGUGCGUAGGCGGAUAAUUAAGUCAGCGGUAAAAGCGUGUGGCUCAACCAUACCGAGCCGUUGAAACUGGUUAUCUUGAGUGUAAACGAGGUAGGCGGAAUGUGACGUGUAGCGGUGAAAUGCUUAGAUAUGUCACAGAACCCCGAUUGCGAAGGCAGCUUACCAGCAUACAACUGACGCUGAGGCACGAAAGCGUGGGUAUCAAACAGGAUUAGAUACCCUGGUA